Molecule: ribosomal RNA, 439 nt
Filed under: uncultured bacterium
Lineage: Bacteria
Description: partial 16S ribosomal RNA
Rfam family: Bacterial small subunit ribosomal RNA
Source: RNAcentral
CUACGGGAUGCUCCAGUGAGGAAUAUUGCACAAUGGGGGGAACCCUGAUGCAGCAACGCCGCGUGGAGGAUGACGCAUUUCGGUGUGUAAACUCCUUUUAUAUGUCAAGAAAAUGACGGUAGCAUAUGGAUAAGCACCGGCUAACUCCGUGCCAGCAGCCGCGGUAAUACGGAGGGUGCAAGCGUUACUCGGAAUCACUGGGCGUAAAGGACGCGUAGGCGGGCUUGUAAGUCAGGUGUGAAAUCCUACAGCUUAACUGUAGAACUGCACUUGAAACUACGAGCCUAGAGUAUGGGAGGGGGAGAUGGAAUUAGUGGUGUAGGGGUAAAAUCCGUAGAUAUCACUAGGAAUACCUAAAGCGAAGGCGAUCUCCUGGAACAUUACUGACGCUAAGGCGUGAAAGCGUGGGGAGCAAACAGGAUUAGAUACCCCUGUAGUC